UACAGAGGGGGCAAGCGUUAUUCGGAAUUAUUGGGCGUAAAGGGCGCGUAGGCGGCUUGGCAAGUGGAAGGUGAAAUCCCUCGGCUUAACCGAGGAACUGCCUUCCAGACUGCUUUGCUUGAGGCCGGGAGAGGUAAGUGGAAUUCCCAGUGUAGCGGUGAAAUGCGUAGAUAUUGGGAGGAACACCAGUGGCGAAGGCGGCUUACUGGACCGGUUCUGACGCUGAGGCGCGAAAGCGUGGGGAGCAAACGGG
RNAcentral lists this ribosomal RNA (253 nucleotides) under uncultured bacterium. Its description in RNAcentral is "partial 16S ribosomal RNA". It matches the Rfam family "Bacterial small subunit ribosomal RNA", at positions 524 to 776 of the family's 1533-position model. The record is from RNAcentral.